AGAGUUUGAUCCUGGCUCAGAAUCAACGCUGGCGGCGUGCCUAACACAUGCAAGUCGAACGCGAAAGCCCCGCAAGGGGUAAGUAGAGUGGCAAACGGGUGAGUAACACGUGGGUGAUCUGCCUCAGAGUGGGGGAUAACGACCCGAAAGGGUCGCUAAUACCGCAUAACAUCCUGCCUUUGGAUAGGUGGAGAUCAAAGUUGGGGAUCCGCAAGGACCUGACGCUUGGAGAGGAGCCCGCGGCCGAUUAGCUAGUUGGUGAGGUAACGGCUCACCAAGGCAACGAUCGGUAUCCGGCCUGAGAGGGCGGACGGACACACUGGGACUGAGACACGGCCCAGACUCCUACGGGAGGCAGCAGUGGGGAAUUGUUCGCAAUGGGCGCAAGCCUGACGACGCAACGCCGCGUGGAGGACGAAGAUUUUCGGAUCGUAAACUCCUUUCGAUCGGGAAGAACAGCUCAUAGGUUAAUAGCCUGAGAGUCUGACGGUACCGAGAGAAGAAGCCCCGGCUAACUCUGUGCCAGCAGCGGCGGUAAUUC
Molecule: ribosomal RNA, 541 nt
Filed under: uncultured bacterium
Lineage: Bacteria
Description: bacterial SSU rRNA
Rfam family: Bacterial small subunit ribosomal RNA
Source: RNAcentral